AAAUGGAGACAGCAGUGAGGACCUUCUGCAAGCUUGUCGCAUUUGUCUCUUUGCCCAGCAGGUGGAGGGUCACUGGAAGCUGCACUGCAUGCAGAGUCAAAGAAAAAGCAGGUGGCUCGUGACGCCACGUUUCCUGAGGGCCUGCCGACAAGCAACGGGUCCAAACGUUGAAGAGGGAAGACUCGGAUUCACAACGUCGAUCGGGUCCUUGAGCACCAUCUGGUGGACAAAAGCAGGACAAACAUGCACAUGUUGAGCAGGUGCCACUUCGCUGACAGUUUCCUCCCUCUCGCUCCCUGGUGCAACGCACCUGAUUGGAUAAGUGAGAGAGGGCCAAAAUUAAGAGCCCCGCCACCGUUUGAUUUGAGCCACAGGUGCGCCUACUCAACCAGCAGGUCAACGAGUUUCCGGGAAUUGGUUGAGGACAAACGUUUUU
This is a long non-coding RNA of Hippocampus comes (tiger tail seahorse), 436 nucleotides long. RefSeq lists it as uncharacterized. The record is from RefSeq and is a predicted model, not a curated record. NCBI's taxonomy places the organism in Eukaryota, Metazoa, Chordata, Actinopteri, Syngnathiformes, Syngnathidae. The transcript has 3 exons.